Molecule: ribosomal RNA, 254 nt
Filed under: uncultured bacterium
Lineage: Bacteria
Description: partial 16S ribosomal RNA
Rfam family: Bacterial small subunit ribosomal RNA
Source: RNAcentral
UACGUAGGGAGCAAGCGUUCGUCCGGAAUCAUUGGGCGUAAAGCGCGCGUAGGCGGCCCCGUAAGUCCGCUGUGAAAGUCAAAGGCUCAACCUUUGAAAGCCGGUGGAUACUGUGGGGCUAGAGUCCGGAAGAGGCGAGUGGAAUUCCUGGUGUAGCGGUGGAAUGCGCAGAUAUCAGGAGGAACACCAAUAGCGAAGGCAGCUCGCUGGGACGGUACUGACGCUAAGGCGCGAAAGCGUGGGGAGCGAACAGG